AUUGAACGCUGGCGGCAGGCCUAACACAUGCAAGUCGAGCGGAUGAAGGGGGCUUGCUCCUGGAUUCAGCGGCGGACGGGUGAGUAAUGCCUAGGAAUCUGCCUGGUAGUGGGGGAUAACGUCCGGAAACGGGCGCUAAUACCGCAUACGUCCUGAGGGAGAAAGUGGGGGAUCUUCGGACCUCACGCUAUCAGAUGAGCCUAGGUCGGAUUAGCUAGUUGGUGGGGUAAAGGCCUACCAAGGCGACGAUCCGUAACUGGUCUGAGAGGAUGAUCAGUCACACUGGAACUGAGACACGGUCCAGACUCCUACGGGAGGCAGCAGUGGGGAAUAUUGGACAAUGGGCGAAAGCCUGACUCAGCCAUGCCGCGUGUGUGAAGAAGGUCUUCGGAUUGUAAAGCACUUUAAGUUGGGAGGAAGGGCAGUAAGUUAAUACCUUGCUGUUUUGACGUUACCAACAGAAUAAGCACCGGCUAACUUCGUG
This 484-nucleotide ribosomal RNA is filed under the name uncultured bacterium. Its description in RNAcentral is "partial 16S ribosomal RNA". It matches the Rfam family "Bacterial small subunit ribosomal RNA", at positions 30 to 507 of the family's 1533-position model. The record is from RNAcentral.